Molecule: ribosomal RNA, 1372 nt
Filed under: uncultured bacterium
Lineage: Bacteria
Description: bacterial SSU rRNA
Rfam family: Bacterial small subunit ribosomal RNA
Source: RNAcentral
GAUGAACGCUGGCGGCGUGCCUAAUACAUGCAAGUCGAGCGAACGGACGAGAAGCUUGCUUCUCUGAUGUUAGCGGCGGACGGGUGAGUAACACGUGGAUAACCUACCUAUAAGACUGGGAUAACUUCGGGAAACCGGAGCUAAUACCGGAUAAUAUUUUGAACCGCAUGGUUCAAAAGUGAAAGACGGUCUUGCUGUCACUUAUAGAUGGAUCCGCGCUGCAUUAGCUAGUUGGUAAGGUAACGGCUUACCAAGGCAACGAUGCAUAGCCGACCUGAGAGGGUGAUCGGCCACACUGGAACUGAGACACGGUCCAGACUCCUACGGGAGGCAGCAGUAGGGAAUCUUCCGCAAUGGGCGAAAGCCUGACGGAGCAACGCCGCGUGAGUGAUGAAGGUCUUCGGAUCGUAAAACUCUGUUAUUAGGGAAGAACAUAUGUGUAAGUAACUGUGCACAUCUUGACGGUACCUAAUCAGAAAGCCACGGCUAACUACGUGCCAGCAGCCGCGGUAAUACGUAGGUGGCAAGCGUUAUCCGGAAUUAUUGGGCGUAAAGCGCGCGUAGGCGGUUUUUUAAGUCUGAUGUGAAAGCCCACGGCUCAACCGUGGAGGGUCAUUGGAAACUGGAAAACUUGAGUGCAGAAGAGGAAAGUGGAAUUCCAUGUGUAGCGGUGAAAUGCGCAGAGAUAUGGAGGAACACCAGUGGCGAAGGCGACUUUCUGAUCUGUAACUGACGCUGAUGUGCGAAAGCGUGGGGAUCAAACAGGAUUAGAUACCCUGGUAGUCCACGCCGUAAACGAUGAGUGCUAAGUGUUAGGGGGUUUCCGCCCCUUAGUGCUGCAGCUAACGCAUUAAGCACUCCGCCUGGGGAGUACGACCGCAAGGUUGAAACUCAAAGGAAUUGACGGGGACCCGCACAAGCGGUGGAGCAUGUGGUUUAAUUCGAAGCAACGCGAAGAACCUUACCAAAUCUUGACAUCCUUUGACAACUCUAGAGAUAGAGCUUUCCCCUUCGGGGGACAAAGUGACAGGUGGUGCAUGGUUGUCGUCAGCUCGUGUCGUGAGAUGUUGGGUUAAGUCCCGCAACGAGCGCAACCCUUAAGCUUAGUUGCCAUCAUUAAGUUGGGCACUCUAAGUUGACUGCCGGUGACAAACCGGAGGAAGGUGGGGAUGACGUCAAAUCAUCAUGCCCCUUAUGAUUUGGGCUACACACGUGCUACAAUGGACAAUACAAAGGGCAGCGAAACCGCGAGGUCAAGCAAAUCCCAUAAAGUUGUUCUCAGUUCGGAUUGUAGUCUGCAACUCGACUACAUGAAGCUGGAAUCGCUAGUAAUCGUAGAUCAGCAUGCUACGGUGAAUACGUUCCCGGGUCU